AGUGAACGCUGGCGGUAGGCCUAACACAUGCAAGUCGAACGGCAGCACAGUAAGAGCUUGCUCUUACGGGUGGCGAGUGGCGGACGGGUGAGGAAUACAUCGGAAUCUACUUUUUCGUGGGGGAUAACGUAGGGAAACUUACGCUAAUACCGCAUACGACCUACGGGUGAAAGCAGGGGAUCUUCGGACCUUGCGCGAUUGAAUGAGCCGAUGUCGGAUUAGCUAGUUGGCGGGGUAAAGGCCCACCAAGGCGACGAUCCGUAGCUGGUCUGAGAGGAUGAUCAGCCACACUGGGACUGAGACACGGUCCAGACUCCUACGGGAGGCAGCAGUGGGGUAUAUUGGACAAUGGGCGCAAGCCUGAUCCAGCCAUACCGCGUGGGUGAAGAAGGCCUUCGGGUUGUAAAGCCCUUUUGUUGGGAAAGAAAAGCAGCAGGUUAAUACCCCGCUGUUCUGACGGUACCCAAAGAAUAAGCACCGGCUAACUUCGUG
RNAcentral lists this ribosomal RNA (492 nucleotides) under uncultured bacterium. RNAcentral's name for it is "partial 16S ribosomal RNA". It matches the Rfam family "Bacterial small subunit ribosomal RNA", at positions 29 to 507 of the family's 1533-position model. The record is from RNAcentral.